CCUUAGAAAAGCCGCCGGACCCGCUUCCCGCUUUUCUGGCAGAGCAGCCGGCCCCGCUUCCCUCGCCCCCGGCAUCCGCCGCAGCUGAGGGCGACCGUGCGCCGUCUCGGCCGGCCCCGCUGACACCAGUGGCGCUCCCGCCCCCUCUCCAUUCUCUCGCUCCAGGGGUUCGUCCCCCCCUCCCUUCGCCGCCAAGAUGCCGCGGAUUAUGAUUAAAGGCGGCGUAUGGCGGAACACCGAGGAUGAAAUUCUGAAAGCAGCUGUUAUGAAAUAUGGCAAGAACCAGUGGUCUCGAAUUGCCUCAUUAUUGCACAGGAAAUCAGCAAAGCAGUGCAAAGCCAGAUGGUACGAAUGGCUGGACCCGAGCAUCAAAAAGACAGAGUGGUCUCGGGAGGAGGAGGAGAAGCUGUUGCACCUGGCCAAGCUGAUGCCAACCCAGUGGAGAACCAUUGCCCCCAUCAUUGGGAGAACUGCUGCACAGUGCUUGGAACACUAUGAAUUUCUGCUGGACAAAGCUGCUCAGAGAGACAAUGAGGAAGAAACUGCUGAUGAUCCUCGGAAACUGAAACCUGGAGAAAUCGAUCCAAAUCCAGAAACCAAACCUGCCAGGCCAGAUCCCAUUGACAUGGAUGAAGAUGAGCUUGAAAUGCUGUCUGAGGCUCGAGCACGUCUGGCAAAUACACAGGGAAAGAAGGCCAAGAGGAAAGCCAGGGAGAAGCAGCUGGAAGAAGCUCGACGCCUUGCUGCUCUCCAGAAAAGACGAGAACUUCGCGCUGCUGGAAUUGAGAUCCAGAAGAAAAGAAAAAAGAAGAGAGGUGUGGAUUACAACGCAGAAAUUCCAUUUGAAAAGAAGCCUGCCCCUGGUUUUUAUGAUACAUCAGAAGAAAAUUAUCAGUCCCUGGAUGCAGAUUUCAGGAGACUGCGUCAGCAAGACCUGGAUGGAGAAUUAAGAUCUGAGAGGGAGGGAAGAGAGCGCAAAAAGGACAAGCAGCACAUGAAACGGAAAAAAGAGUCAGACUUGCCCUCAGCUAUUCUGCAGACCAGUGGAGUGUCAGAAUUCACCAAGAAAAGGAGUAAACUGGUGCUUCCAGCUCCUCAGAUAUCUGAUACAGAACUUGAAGAAGUUGUAAAAGUUGGCCAAGCAAGUGAGAUUGCACGGCAGACUGCUGAGGAAUCUGGAAUCACAAACUCAGCUUCCAGCACUCUUCUCUCUGAGUAUAAUGUAACCAACAACAGCAUAGCUCUGAGGACUCCCAAAACUCCAGCAGCCCAGGACAGGAUCCUGCAGGAGGCCCAGAAUCUGAUGGCUCUCACAAAUGUGGAUACUCCCCUGAAAGGAGGUCUUAAUACUCCCUUGCAUGAAAGUGACUUUUCAGGGGUAACACCACAGAAACAGGUUGUUCAGACUCCAAAUACUGUGCUUUCCACACCUUUCAGAACACCCUCUCAGGGGUCAGAGGGCUUAACUCCUCGAGGAGGACUGACUCCCAAACCUGCCCUUGGCACAACUCCUGGGAGAACUCCCCUGCGGGAUAAACUGAACAUCAACCCUGAAGAGGGAAUGGCAGAUUACAGUGACCCAUCCUAUGCAAAACAAAUGGAGAGAGAGUCUCGGGAGCACCUGCGCCUGGGGCUCAUGGCCCUCCCUGCUCCAAAGAACGACUUUGAGAUUGUUCUGCCUGAAAAUGCAGAAAAGGAGCUUGAAGAACAUGAAGUAGAUGAAACCUUUGUAGAAGAUGCUGCUGAUAUAGAAGCCCGCAAGCAGGCUCUCCGAGAAGCAGAGCGUGCCAAGGAGCUGAAGAGAAUGCACAAAGCUGUGCAGAAGAAUCUACCACGGCCCUCAGAAGUCAACGAAACAAUACUGAGACCCUUAAAUGUGGAACCACCCCUAACAGACUUGCAGAAAAGUGAAGAACUCAUAAAGAAAGAGAUGAUUACCAUGCUUCAUUUUGAUCUUUUACAUCAUCCAUUUGGAGAACAGUUUACUGGUAAGAAAGGCAAAGGCCCAGGAUUUGGAAGCAACAACGCUGAGCACAUGGCUUACUUGGAACAAAAUCCUUAUGAGAAGUUCUCCAAAGAGGAUCUCAAGAAGGCACAGGAUCUACUGGCACAAGAGAUGGAGGUGGUAAAGCAAGGAAUGGGGCAUGGAGAGCUGUCAAGUGAAGCUUAUAACCAGGUGUGGGAAGAAUGUUACAGCCAAGUGCUGUACCUGCCUGGACAGAGCCGCUACACAAGGGCUAACUUGGCCAGCAAAAAGGACAGGAUAGAGUCACUUGAAAAGAGACUCGAGAUCAACAGAGGCCACAUGACCACUGAAGCCAAGAGGGCUGCCAAGAUGGAGAAGAAGCUGAAGAUCCUUCUUGGUGGUUACCAGUCUCGAGCAAUGGGGCUCAUCAAGCAGCUGAACGAUCUGUGGGACCAGAUCGAGCAGGCCCACCUGGAGCUGCGCACCUUUGAGGAGCUGAAGAAACACGAGGAUGCUGCCAUCCCUCGGAGACUGGAGUGUCUGAAGGAAGAUGUGCAGCGACAGCAGGAGAGAGAAAAGGAACUCCAGCAGAGAUUUGCUGACUUCAUGUUGGAUAAAGAGACUUUUCAAGCAAAGUAUUAAAGCGCAAAAUUCCAUCUGUCACUGAUGCAACAUUUCUAAAGUGUGCAGAUACUUCUCCAGCAGCUUUUGCCAGCAGUUGCAGAAAUCAAGUGUAGUCUGCUGUUUCCAUCUUGUCAAGUUUUGUUCCUUCAAUGGACUAUUCCAAAUGCUCUAGGGCUGCAGCAGAGCCUCUUUGAUGUGCCCUGUAUUUUUGACAGCUUUGGAGCUAGACAGGUAUUCAAACUCUGACUUAAAUUGUUUAAAUGAAAAAUUCAGAAGGACUGAUCAGUCACAAAAGACUUUUCUUUCUUGAAAUGUAUGCAAUUAACCAGUCAUUAAUUGCAGCAGGCACGAGGUGGUUCUAUUUGAGAAGUAUCUGCAGGUGGUUUGCUCAGUGUUUCUGUAGUACAGUUUGUUCACACAACACUUAAGCAAGUUCACAGUUUUCCCUGUCUUUAACCAGAGUUUUUGUCCUAAUGAAAGAAAACUAAUAAAGUCUCUUUCCUUAGUUAGAGCUUGGCUGUGCCCUGCUUUAGCUUUUUACCUGCCCUCAGCUGCCUGCUCUAGGGCAGCCAGUGACAGAUCUGCUGAAAUCGCCCCAAAAACUUCACACAGGGUGCUCUGUGCAUUUGUUGGUUCUAGAAUGGUGUGAAUGGAGCAGCAGAGCCUGGAUAAAACAUCCUGAGAUCAUUCGGGUGUGGGAUCUUAAACUGGAGUGCUCAGGAAAUCUGUCCAAGCAAAUUUGGAUGCUGGUAGAUGCCAGUGCUUCCAGCUGCAGGUGAUGAUGGAGCUGGGGCUUGCCAGAUCUAUUUCUUGGGCUUAGGCCCAAUUUAUGUCCUGAACAGCACUCCCUGAAUCUCUGUCUAAAUGGCUGUGUAGCUGCAUGCAGAUGUUUGUUGGACACAAGAGUGACCAGCACACCUUUGCAAUAAAUUUUUAUUUUAAAAUUCUGAAGCCAGCCACUGAUUUGAUCUUUCUUUCCAGGAACAAUAAUAAGUAUAAUCAUAAACAAUGCAAAUUUGUGAACAUUUCACUACAGUGGGGAAGCUCUAACCUGUGUGACAGAGGUGGGAUGGGGGCUGUGCUGUGUGUGUUAACAAUUAUUUUGAGAAUUAUUUAACAUUCUCCCCGAGAAAUUCCUCCAUUUCCAUUCAGCAUGCCAAAAUAUAUCUGCAAGCCUUUAAAUAAUUUCAGCUGCUGAUUUUCCUCCCUUCCUGGAAUCAAACUUGGCAUUUAUGUAUUGGAUCAAUCCCAUAGCUGGAGCCUGCUUCAAAGUCUGUGGAGUUGAUAAGGCUGUCAUUUACUUCAAUUGAUUUGGAUUCCAGUACCUGGGAAAGCCAAGGGGACUAAAUUAUAACAGCUGGGUGUCUCAUCCAUACCCAACAGAUAACAGAGAUCCUGAGCUCAGGGUAAGGGGGAGACUCCUCAGAGGCAAAGGAGCUUCCCUGUGAGAAAUCCAACAGAGCUGAAGCCAGCUCUUCCAAACCUGGCAAAUCUCCAGAGAAAAAAGCACUGUGUAACACUGUAAUUAGUCACGGCAGCCAGCGGUGGCCAAGACACACCAGAGCUCUCUGGCUGCCUUAAAAAGACACUUCCAGUGCCAACAGGAGCAUCUUGUCUUUGCCUGUUGCUGCUUGUUUGCCUUUUGCACCCUUGUUUGCUGAGACAAGCAUUGGGGCAGCACAUUUGGGUUCAAAUAUGUUCAUCCAGCUUGAUUGUCCAAUCCCCUGUCCAGAGCAGACGUGAGUUGGGCCACAUUUCCAGGCAGGAAGUGCAAGUGAUGGUGAAAGUGGGGCAGAAUAGGGUCCAAAGAGGGGCAGUGGAGCUGGGGAAGGCUCUGGAGCACAAGGGAGCAGCUGAGGGAGCUGUGGGGGGCUCAGCCUGGAGAAAAGGAGGCUCAGGAAGGACUUUCUGGCUCUUCGCAACCCCCUGGCAGGAGGAGGCAGCCAGGUGGUGGUCAGGCUCUUCUCCCUGGUAACCAGUGAUAGGGCAAGAAGAAAUAGCCUCAAAUUACACCAAGAAGGGCUAACUUGGAUAUUGGAAAAUAUUUCUUCAUUGAAAGGGUGAUCAGGCAUUGGAAUGGUCUGCACAGGGAAGCAGAGCAGUGACCACCCCUGGAAGUGUUCAAAAACCAUGUCGAUGUGGUGCUUAGAGACCUGGUUUAGCUUUGGGCUUGGCAAUGCUGGGUUAAUGUUUGUACUUGAUGAUCUUAGAAGUCUUUUCUGACCUUAAUGAUUCUUGUGAUUGCUUCUGUCAGAGGAUGUCCCACUUCAUUGUCUGCCUAAAGUGAGUGUGAAACAUGGGCUGGGUGCUCCAGGGCCAGUAGCUGACAUGAGGUAACUACCCACAAUUAAGUCCCUGACAGACUCAGCUGGAUCUGUGCCCCUGAUGAAAACUCUGGAAAUUCAUUGUUUUUUGUCAUCAUGGCCGGAGCAUAGAUUUCUAAAUAAAAUGCAUAAAAACCCA
Agelaius phoeniceus (red-winged blackbird) is the source of this 5053-nucleotide non-coding RNA. NCBI's taxonomy places the organism in Eukaryota, Metazoa, Chordata, Aves, Passeriformes, Icteridae. The record is from RefSeq and is a predicted model, not a curated record.